RNAcentral lists this long non-coding RNA (1599 nucleotides) under Gossypium barbadense (sea-island cotton). RNAcentral's name for it is "long non-coding RNA (GBAR_LNC018858)". The record is from RNAcentral. Lineage: Eukaryota; Viridiplantae; Streptophyta; Magnoliopsida; Malvales; Malvaceae.
CUAAAAUGUCAAGACCCCCAUUCACUAAUGACAUUGUCAAAUCCUUGGUUUCCAAUUGUUUGUUGGUGUUGGAAUUUGGACGGCACUCUGUCAGCCUUGGAAUUAGAAGAGGUUGCCGUUUAACAGUAAACCAAUAGCACCCCACCAAGUUCGCCAAUGGCUUGAUGGAAAAAGUCCGUUUCAGUUCCAGGCAUGUUGUGGAAAUUUAUACUGAAGAUCAUUCAAACUUUGAAGUUGGGCACUAAGUAGUACUCCUAUUCCUUGGACUUUAAUCUCUUCUGAUUCAUGUAUUCUUAGUGAUUCAGUAGACCAGUGGUUAGAAACAAACUUAAGUAUCCACACCACAAGUAACAUGCUCACUGUUAACUGACUGUCUAAAUGCAAUACGGGGUCCUUCCAAGUUCGAUCUAGCCUCUAAUGAAGCAGGUACUAUUUUUGAGUGCAGAUAUUCAAAUGCAAAUUGAUGGUUGUUGUUGUCUGUGUCACACUGAAUUUGAAACUUGAAAUCAUCUACUUUUAGAGUGUAGAUAUUGGAAGACAGUCUGGAAUGAAGUGCUGGACAGUGGAAUUUUGAGCUACAAUAGGUGAUAAGGAAGCUAAAGGGAAAAGCCUGAACUGCAAUAGUUGUAUCUAUUGGAUCUGGAGGGAAAGGAAUUGCAGACUAAUUGUUAAGUAUGACUCCUAUUUUCAGUUAAAUUUAAAAAAUAAUCUUCUAAUUAAACUCUAUUUAUUUAUUUCAAUCAAAUACUGAUUAGUUUAGAUUAUUUUAUUAUUAUUUGACAUAUAAAUUUAGGCUAUAAAUAGGUUCUUUUACAACCUUAGUAAAAACACCCAUUAGAAAUUAGAACUCAUAACACAUUUAGAGAGUUUUGUGUUUACGUUUUGAGGGUUCUUUGUUUUGGGGUUUUUUGGGGUUUAGUUUUAUCUCUAUCUUUUGUACUCUUCGUUCUUUUUCCAUUAUAAUAAAAUUAUCUUUGCCCGUGGUUUUUUUUAUUCUCUUUGGAGGAGAUUUUCACGUUAAAUUUGUGUGUUCAAUUUCUCAAUUUAUUCCACUAUUUUUAUUACUUAUUGCUUAAUCGGGACAAUCCUAACACUAAUACUAUUUAAUAAUACUCAAUCUUAUAUGUAAUUGUUGGAAUGAAGUUGGUUGGUGCUAGAAUAGAAGAUGACAUUGUUAAUAAUAGCUUACAAAUACACGAAAUCAUUACCAAAUAAUAAACUACAACGAAAUAAUCUCAUUAAAAGGAAGUAUUUAGAUGGUUGAACCCAUAGAGAAAAAAUGGCUACUGAUUAAAUAACCUGAUUAUUCUACUUGUUUACACCUUCUUUAGGGAGUAGUUGGGCUUGGACAAUAUGGACAGGAUCUCAUAUGAUUGAGUGCUUUCACGUUUGCUGAUUCGGAAACUGUUGUAUUAAUGUCAAAGAGGUGUUACGGCUGGAUAUUACAACUUCUAAUAUUAUUAUUAUCCCAUUUUAAAGGCUGAUCAAGCCAAAGAUCUGCUGCUGGAUUGCUAAGAUUAUACCUUACGUGAACAAGAGGGUGAAGCUACUUGCCUAAACUCUUGAGGUUUGCUUGAAUUGUAGAAUCGUUUGGGCCAA